UCUAUCUUGUGCUCAAAAUGAUCUGAGGAUUCCCUCAGAGAAAAUUCGUACCUUGGAGAAUUCUCAUGCCUCUCUUGAAGCUUCAUUGGAUUCCCACCUAAUUGAGCACCAAAUAGCAAAAAAUGAUAUUGCUAUGUGGGAAAAAGAAUGCAAGGCUUUGGAGAAAGAAUACAAUGCCCUUGAAGAGAAUUUUAACAUAGAAGUGAGUUGGGAUUUUCUGAAUUCUCGCCGUGAUGUCUUGAUGGAG
RNAcentral lists this long non-coding RNA (247 nucleotides) under Nicotiana benthamiana. RNAcentral's name for it is "long non-coding RNA (NBEN_LNC008689)". The record is from RNAcentral. Lineage: Eukaryota; Viridiplantae; Streptophyta; Magnoliopsida; Solanales; Solanaceae.